GCUGGUCACAUUCCUUGUCUGAGCUCCCUUGCCUAGUGCUGCGCACCCACCCCUAGGGGACAUCGAGACUGCAAGGCCACCUGGACCUGGCUUUGGCUCCUCCUCUAACUAUGUAGUAUCAUGGGUCCUUCAUUUCCUUCACAGGCUGGCCUCGAACUCGCGGUAAUCUUACUGCUUAGACGUGAGACACAAUACUCUGUCAGGCUUGGGUUUUAUGUGGAAAAAAGAGAUGGAAAGACCUCUAGUACUGGAUUCCUGACCAUCGAAGUGAAUACACUCUGGGGGUUGUUCUUGUCACAGGAGAGAAGAAAAAGAAACUGCACACUGACUUGCCUGGAGGCUGCCAUGAGUUGGAUUCCCACUGACACGUGUCUCUGUGUUCUUCUCCUGCAUGGUCUUCAGUGUUUGCUGUUGUUUAGGAUCUUGAGUGUAGACACUGGGCAGAGAGGAAAUCUCAGUGUACAUUAGAUGAGCAUUUUCUUCAUUACAGUAAUUGUGGAGAAUGUAAUAUGUACAUUUUAGCUGUUUUAACUGCUUUGAUUAUGGUCCUUUUUUGGCUUAUUUAUUGAUUACAAUAUUAUUUGCUUUGUGUACUUUUCUAUUUUAACAUUUUGGUAAAAUAUGGGUAUUUGUGCUAUGUACUAAGGAAGGUUGCUAAUAAAUUUAUCCAUU
This is a non-coding RNA of Peromyscus maniculatus bairdii (prairie deer mouse), 672 nucleotides long. The record is from RefSeq and is a predicted model, not a curated record. Lineage: Eukaryota; Metazoa; Chordata; Mammalia; Rodentia; Cricetidae.